AGUGAACGCUGGCGGUAGGCCUAACACAUGCAAGUCGAACGGCAGCACAGUAAGAGCUUGCUCUUACGGGUGGCGAGUGGCGGACGGGUGAGGAAUACAUCGGAAUCUACUUUUUCGUGGGGGAUAACGUAGGGAAACUUACGCUAAUACCGCAUACGACCUACGGGUGAAAGCAGGGGAUCUUCUGACCUUGCGCGAUUGAAUGAGCCGAUGUCGGAUUAGCUAGUUGGCGGGGUAAAGGCCCACCAAGGCGACGAUCCGUAGCUGGUCUGAGAGGAUGAUCAGCCACACUGGAACUGAGACACGGUCCAGACUCCUACGGGAGGCAGCAGUGGGGAAUAUUGGACAAUGGGCGCAAGCCUGAUCCAGCCAUACCGCGUGGGUGCAGAAGGCCUUCGGGUUGUAAAGCCCUUUUGUUGGGAAAGAAAAGCAGCAGGUUAAUACCCCGCUGUUAUGACGGUACCCAAAGAAUAAGCACCGGCUAACUUCGUG
Molecule: ribosomal RNA, 492 nt
Filed under: uncultured bacterium
Lineage: Bacteria
Description: partial 16S ribosomal RNA
Rfam family: Bacterial small subunit ribosomal RNA
Source: RNAcentral